GCAGGGCAACAUAGACGUAUAUGUUCACGUCCUGGAUGUCGCGCAGGGCGGUGUGGGUCACUGCUGUCGAA
RNAcentral lists this transfer RNA (71 nucleotides) under uncultured eukaryote. The record is from RNAcentral.